This is a long non-coding RNA of Actinia tenebrosa (Australian red waratah sea anemone), 574 nucleotides long. The record is from RefSeq and is a predicted model, not a curated record. NCBI's taxonomy places the organism in Eukaryota, Metazoa, Cnidaria, Anthozoa, Actiniaria, Actiniidae.
AAUGAACCGUUAGAGCCUGGAUCAAAGUACAGGGUUCAUGUAAGAAUCGUUACCACGACAGUGGAUGGGAAACGAAUUUUCGGAGACUCGAGUUUUGUGGCUUUCACGACAAAAACCCUCAACAAUGAUGAAGCAAUGCCUCUCAAGCGUGUGAGUGAUGAAAGUCUUAUAGGGAUCGUGAUUGGUCUAUCAGUCUUCAUAUUUGUACUCCUUGCAAUCUUUCUCCAUCAUUGUUGGUCUAAGCUAAAGUACAAACCAAACAAGAAAGACCUUGGAACUGAAAUGGAAGACCUAAAGAAUGGAUAUAAUUUAUUGAAUGACAAUUAAGACCUGGAUUACCGUCUCAGCGCAAAGCCUUGUUAGACUGUAUUUAAGUGUUAAUAUUAUAUAGGCGACCUAGAGUCCUAUUGUAUUAUCACCUGCCCUUGGGUGAAUCAUAAAUAAAUUUAUAUCACUCUCACUCUGUAAUGCCAACUCGAGUUUUUUUUCUUCGCCAACAUUACUCGGAUUGGCUAACAUGGAUACUUAGCUGAAAUAUGGUAUAAUAAAUAAUAAAAUGUAAUAAAUAAAACAA